GGCCAAAGUUUAGAGUCAGGUGCACCCCCGC
Molecule: non-coding RNA, 31 nt
Filed under: Homo sapiens (human)
Lineage: Eukaryota; Metazoa; Chordata; Mammalia; Primates; Hominidae
Source: RNAcentral